UCCUCAUGGCCUUUAUGUCCAGGGCUACACACGUGCUACAAUGGGUGGUACAAAGAGCCGCGAACUCGCGAGAGCAAGCAAAUCUCAAAAACCAUCCUCAGUUCGGAUUGGAGUCUGCAACUCGACUCCAUGAAGCUGGAAUCGCUAGUAAUCGCGGAUCAGCAUGCCGCGGUGAAUACGUUCCCGGGCCUU
RNAcentral lists this ribosomal RNA (192 nucleotides) under uncultured Syntrophus sp. RNAcentral's name for it is "partial 16S ribosomal RNA". It matches the Rfam family "Bacterial small subunit ribosomal RNA", at positions 1190 to 1382 of the family's 1533-position model. The record is from RNAcentral. Lineage: Bacteria; Pseudomonadati; Thermodesulfobacteriota; Syntrophia; Syntrophales; Syntrophaceae.